This 79-nucleotide small nucleolar RNA is filed under the name Lottia gigantea (owl limpet). The record is from RNAcentral. Lineage: Eukaryota; Metazoa; Mollusca; Gastropoda; Lottiidae.
CUGCAAUGAUGUAAAAUUAAUUUCUUCAACUGAAACAAUCUAUGAUGUUACCCCAUUGUGACAUUUUUAACUGAGCAGU